GCCAACAUUUCAGCCACGCCUGGUUCAGAAAAAACCCACACAAACAGCAGAUUUUCAUGAAUGAGAAUGCGAAUGCAAAACACGGAACGAAUGGCUUACCUCGACAGAGAAAAUCUAAGAUGUGACAAAUCGGAUUAAGGCCUUCUCAACUGAAAUCUGCUUCGCCUCGGUGACGGAGUGAAGAAAUAUGAGAGGAAUGGGUAUCAAAUUAGAGAGAGGGAAGAAAGAACCCUCGGCUACACUAUUUUUAUGGGAUUUUCUGCUUCGCCUUGGUGAUCGAGUGAAGACAGAUGAGAGGAAUGGGUGCCAAAAUGAGAGAGAGGGAAGAAAGAACGGUCAAUCGGCUAGGGUUUUCUUGUGGGAACCUCUGCUUCGCCUUGGUGACGGAGUGAAGACAACUGAGAGGAAUGGGUAUCAAAUGAGAAAGAGGGAAGAAAGAACCGUCGGCUAGGGUGUUUUUGUGGGAAGCUCAACAUUUGAUUUUGGAGUUUUCAA
Molecule: long non-coding RNA, 495 nt
Filed under: Vitis vinifera (wine grape)
Lineage: Eukaryota; Viridiplantae; Streptophyta; Magnoliopsida; Vitales; Vitaceae
Description: long non-coding RNA (VVIN_LNC007897)
Source: RNAcentral